UGUAAGAAUUACUUACUGACUUGUUAGAUGUGCUUGAGACUAUUUUUUAUCAAAAUAUUUUCUUUUGCUUAGUUGUUUGGUUGUUUUAACAAAACAUAAUGGUUUGCAUUUCACAUUCUCAAAAUUGAAUCGUUAUCACCAAAAGUAAAUUUUAGUAAACAUAUGAAUAAACUAGCAAAUCGAUUGCUAACCGUUUAGAAAUCAUAUGGAAUAAAUUGAAAUCGAAACCGUUUAAAACCGUGAAACUGAAACCGUUUAAAAACUGUGGAAACCGAAACCAUUUACUAAAUGGUGCGGUUAUGAUUUCAGCCAAAAUAUAUGUGAACCGAGCCAAACUGAGCCGUUUAAACCAAAAUCGAGCCGAUUAACACCCUUAAAUACCCCCAAACAAAAUCUUCCUUUACUAUACGCUUUCCCUUUUCCCGACCCUUCUCAUAAGCUGAUUGGAGUGAUCGCUGCAACCUGAUCGGCCUGCAAACGGUAAGUGCUUCAAUCAGUCAUCUCCCAUUGUCUUUUUCUUUAAAAUUCUUCUUUAGAGCUACCUCAGUCCUUCCCGCAAGCGCUUCAAGUGGCGCAGAAGUGCUUAUGCUUGUGGUUGUCUGCAUCACUUCUUUUCCAGCUCCUGAUACAUUUCCCCAAAAAUCUCAACUUGAGUUCUCGCCAGCCACACCUCUCACUAGUCUCCAAUGCUGUAAUUUCUCUUUCUCUUUCUCAUUUUCCUUUUCCAUUUACUGUAACAUUUCUAUUUUUGUUUUAAGUUGUUGAGCUCCAAUCCCUUGCCAAUAGUUGGAUCAUAAUUCAGAACUUUUUGUUUCACUGUUCUGCAGUGUUAAAGCAGUCAUGGAUUCUCCUUUGCUUAGUGAACGGUUGCACUUCUCUUUUAUGUUUUCUCAGAUCAAAUAGAUUAACGAGGUGAGAGAGAGGUUAUCUGUGCAGGUAGAACUCUCUUCUCUUGCGGAUGAAUAGAGUUGCAAUGACGAAGGAAUGUCCUGUGAUUCCUUAGUUUUGGGCGGUUUUAACAUGCUCUUAUUAACGUGUAACACAAUAAUCGCUUUAUUGGUACCGAUAAAUCAUUAACACCUCUCUACCUAGUUAUGAAUUUAUUGAUAUGUUUAUUUAUUUUAAUGCAAAAUAUGGAUCAUAAAUCAUACCCAAAGUCUCUAUUUAUGUUUAUUUGAUAGAUAAAUGUAAAUUUAAACUAUACCAAAGAGAGCCAUAUUUAUUUAUUUAUUUAUUGUUAUAUGAAAUACUUCUGUGGAGUAGAACACAUUUGGUAACAAGGCGUAAGAAGUGUUGUUAGAUUAGGGAGUAAAAUGCAUUUUAUAUUGCAUGCGAGGUGUACUUUUCUGAAAAUUCUUGUCCUUUCUCCACUUCUGCCCCUGAUCGUUCCCCUCCCCCCCUCCCCCUCGCCCCUCCCCUCCCCUCUUGACUACUCCAUGAGUUGAUGCCCCUAUAUUGGUUCCCAUAACCCCCCCUUCUCCUUUCCUAUUGUUGCUCUAUGCACCUACACGGUCUAGCCCUAAUAUGGCUCCGCCAGUUCUCCCUUCCCCCCUCUCUCUUCAAUUUCAUGUAUUCAUCUCCCCUACAUAUUUAUCUACCACCACCCAUAGCAUAUGCCCCAUCUGUGACCAUUACCAUUCCCCUCUACCAUCAUCCCCAAAUCCUACUGCUCUCCCACUUUUGACGAUCCUCUCAACUCCAAACCACUCCUCUUACCUGCCUACAUGCAAUGCAGCUGCAUGCCCGUACGAAACUUCCCCAUGCCCUCUCUAUCACUUCUUCACGCACACCCUUACUGAACCAACAUGUUUCUCCCAAGCCUCUAAACACCAAUGGUGCUAUGUUGUCAUGAUCAAUAAAUUAACACCUUGUUCCAUAAUAGUACUUGGACUCUGGUUCAUUGCCGAAAUGAUAUGAAUUUGGUAGGUUGUAAGUGGGUGUAUCGUAUAAAGGGGAAGGCUGACGGCUUUGUAGAGCACUACAAAAUGUGCCUCAUUGCCAAAGGGUUUCACCAGUAGCAAGGGAUUGAUUACAGGGACACCUUUACUCUUGUUGUAAAACCAAUCACUAUUCGCACCAUUCUUGCCCUAGUGGUAGGCCAAGGGUGGCCCAAUCGGAAAUUGGGCAUUCACAAUGCUUUCAGGCAUGGUAUCCUUAAUGAAGGAGUAUAUAUGACACAAUGUUCAGGAUUUUUUGAUAGUACUCAUCCGUAACAUGAUUGCCAUCUACAUAGUUCUCUAUACAGCCAAACAGGCGCCCAAGGCAUGGUUUCAUCGAUUGUCUCAUUUUUUGUUAUAGAUUGGGUUUCAAGUUUUUCAAACGAAUGCCUCUAUAUUCAUCUAUAAGCAUGGUUCCCAUCUUAUUUAUUUUCAAGUACAAGUUAACGAUAUACUUGUUACAAGCGAUAAUCAAGAACAUGUCACCCAGCAUCUUCAGGGACUUGCUAUAGAGUUCUCUAUCAAGGAUUUGGGUCCUCUAAGCUUCUUUCAUGGUAUUGAAGUCCUUCCUCACUAAAAAGGUAUUGUGUUACAAAUAUAUACAUGAUCUUGUGCACAGGGCUGGUAUGGUUGACUACAAACCUCCCAUGGCUACCACUACAAAGCCAGCUACUUCAAGGGGCAUGUGAGGACGAUGGGUUUUGGUAUGACCUUGGCAUGAAGAGGAAGGGCAUAUACGCUUGUCCUCCAUCUCAUCUACUGGGGAAAGAGAAAUAGAGAUCAAGUAAGACUCACCACCAUACCAGAGGAAUAGGUAGUGGUUGCAACAACCCAGGUUGCCUCUGAUGUUCUGCCUUAACUCGUUGACAAGUCAAGCACUUCUCUACAAAUGGAUAAUUUCUCUCUUCAAGUUAUUCCACUAGUAAGUUGUCUUCAAGUCUUGAUACAUCCAGGGUGCACCGUAUAGGGAGUACGAUGAGCCUCGUCCAAAAUUUCUUGCUUCUGGCAUGCAAAUCCAGUCACGAAACCUUGGAGUUCCAUCGUUCUUGAUGACAUAUUCCUUCCUCUUUCCUUCUCGAAGUUCCAUUCUGAUUUUCUCUAGAUAAGGGUCUUCACUUUGGGCGGAUCUUAUUUUGUCCAUCAGAGAUGGUUGUACAGUCAAGUUGGAUAGCAUGGCUGAAAUAUCUCCUACUAUCACCUCUAGGUCGAGUUUCUUGAAGUCGUUAAUGAUGUGUCGCUACCUAGUUAGAAGUGAAACGAAGUAUCCCUGAGGACUCCUGCUUAAGGUAUCAACGAGCACAUUUUCUCUCCCUGGAUGGUAGUUGAUUGUACAGUUAUAGUCCACUGAGGCGAAUUCACAUCCAUAGGCUAAUAUCCGUAUUAUCUGGAUGGAUGACAUAGAGAAAGCACAACAAUUGGUCUCUCCCCUGUACCAUUGUCGAGCCAUUAUAGAUGCAAUAAGUACCUGGGAAAGAGGGUCUACCGCCAAUGCCUGGAAAAGAAAGGCGAUGCAUUUCAUGCAGAUCUCCCACUUUAGCUUGGAGUCCAAUCGGGUUUCCAAGGAAGUUAUAGGGAGAUAUCUCAAGGAUGUGAAUGCCAACCGCCUCAUCAAGCCCAAAUCUUCUGAUUAAUACCAUGACUACAUAGUCAAAGAGUAAGUCCACUUGAGGUUGACUUCCUCGGGUGAAUUUUUUGUACUUUUCAUUUUGACUCUUUAUUUUGAUUCCUUAUUCUUUGUUCUGAUCCUCACAUGAUUUUUUACAACCUAGGGCCCUCAUUGAAUUUAAGGCCAUCAUGGUGGGGAGGGGGCAUCCAUUUUCGAACUAUCCCUGUGUAAAUACCCAAUUUUGUCAUCCACCCCUAUCUAUGAGGAUUUACAAGAAAUGGAUGCGAUCUACGCUUUAAAUUGGUG
This is a long non-coding RNA of Macadamia integrifolia, 3849 nucleotides long. RefSeq lists it as uncharacterized. The record is from RefSeq and is a predicted model, not a curated record. NCBI's taxonomy places the organism in Eukaryota, Viridiplantae, Streptophyta, Magnoliopsida, Proteales, Proteaceae. The transcript is spliced from 2 exons.